Molecule: ribosomal RNA, 229 nt
Filed under: uncultured bacterium
Lineage: Bacteria
Description: partial 16S ribosomal RNA
Rfam family: Bacterial small subunit ribosomal RNA
Source: RNAcentral
UGUGUAGGCGGGCUUUCAAGUCAGGUGUGAAAGUCUACGGCUUAACCGUAGAUCGGCAUUUGAUACUGUAAGUCUUGAGUUUAGGAGAGGGAGGUGGAAUUCUUGGUGUAGCGGUGGAAUGCGUAGAUAUCAAGAAGAACACCGGUGGCGAAGGCGACCUUCUGGCCUAAAACUGACGCUGAGGCACGAAAGCAUGGGGAGCGAACAGGAUUAGAUACCCUGGUAGUCC